RNAcentral lists this ribosomal RNA (460 nucleotides) under uncultured bacterium. RNAcentral describes it as "partial 16S ribosomal RNA". It matches the Rfam family "Bacterial small subunit ribosomal RNA", at positions 338 to 795 of the family's 1533-position model. The record is from RNAcentral.
CCUACGGGAGGCAGCAGUGAGGAAUAUUGGUCAAUGGACGAGAGUCUGAACCAGCCAAGUAGCGUGAAGGAUGACUGCCCUAUGGGUUGUAAACUUCUUUUAUAUGGGAAUAAAAUGUUCCACGUGUGGGAUUUUGUAUGUACCAUAUGAAUAAGGAUCGGCUAACUCCGUGCCAGCAGCCGCGGUAAUACGGAGGUUCCGAGCGUUAUCCGGAUUUAUUGGGUUUAAAGGGAGCGUAGGUGGAUUGUUAAGUCAGUUGUGAAAGUUUGCGGCUCAACCGUAAAAUUGCAGUUGAAACUGGCAGUCUUGAGUACAGUAGAGGUGGGCGGAAUUCGUGGUGUAGCGGUGAAAUGCUUAGAUAUCACGAAGAACUCCGAUUGCGAAGGUAGUUCACUGGACUGCAACUGACACUGAGGCUCGAAAGUGUGGGUAUCAAACAGGAUUAGAUACCCUAGUAGUC